UACGUAGGGUGCAAGCGUUAAUCGGAAUUACUGGGCGUAAAGCGUGCGCAGGCGGCUUUGCAAGACAGAUGUGAAAUCCCCGGGCUUAACCUGGGAACUGCAUUUGUGACUGCAUGGCUAGAGUGCGGCAGAGGGGGAUGGAAUUCCGCGUGUAGCAGUGAAAUGCGUAGAUAUGCGGAGGAACACCGAUGGCGAAGGCAAUCCCCUGGGCCUGCACUGACGCUCAUGCACGAAGCGUGGGAGCAACAGGAUAGAUAC
RNAcentral lists this ribosomal RNA (258 nucleotides) under uncultured bacterium. Its description in RNAcentral is "partial 16S ribosomal RNA". It matches the Rfam family "Bacterial small subunit ribosomal RNA", at positions 524 to 785 of the family's 1533-position model. The record is from RNAcentral.